RNAcentral lists this ribosomal RNA (460 nucleotides) under uncultured bacterium. RNAcentral's name for it is "partial 16S ribosomal RNA". It matches the Rfam family "Bacterial small subunit ribosomal RNA", at positions 338 to 795 of the family's 1533-position model. The record is from RNAcentral.
CCUACGGGAGGCAGCAGUGAGGAAUAUUGGUCAAUGGACGCAAGCCUGAACCAGCCAUGUCGCGUGCAGGAAGACGGCCCUAUGAGUUGUAAACUGCUUUUGUACGAGGGUAAAUCCCGAUACGUGUAGCGGGUUGAAAGUACCGUACGAAUAAGGAUCGGCUAACUCCGUGCCAGCAGCCGCGGUAAUACGGAGGAUUCAAGCGUUAUCCGGAUUUAUUGGGUUUAAAGGGUUCGUAGGCGGGUAGGUAAGUUAGGGGUGAAAUCCCGGGGCUCAACCCCCGCACUGCCUUUGAUACUGUCGGGCUAGAGUAUAGUCGAGGUAGGCGGAAUGUGUGGUGUAGCGGUGAAAUGCAUAGAGAUCAUACAGAACACCGAUUGCGAAGGCAGCUUACCAAACUGCGACUGACGUUGAGGCACGAAAGCGUGGGUAGCGAACAGGAUUAGAUACCCUUGUAGUC